RNAcentral lists this ribosomal RNA (253 nucleotides) under uncultured bacterium. RNAcentral describes it as "partial 16S ribosomal RNA". It matches the Rfam family "Bacterial small subunit ribosomal RNA", at positions 524 to 776 of the family's 1533-position model. The record is from RNAcentral.
UACAGAGGUCCCAAGCGUUGUUCGGAUUCACUGGGCGUAAAGGGUGCGUAGGUGGUGAGGUAAGUCGGAUGUGAAAUCUCCAAGCUCAACUUGGAAAUGGCAUUGGAAACUACCUUGCUGGAGGUUUGGAGGGGGGACUGGAAUUCUCGGUGUAGCAGUGAAAUGCGUAGAUAUCGAGAGGAACACCAGUGGCGAAGGCGAGUCCCUGGACAAAACCUGACACUGAGGCACGAAAGCUAGGGGAGCAAACAGG